This 429-nucleotide ribosomal RNA is filed under the name Chloroflexota bacterium. RNAcentral's name for it is "Chloroflexi bacterium partial 16S ribosomal RNA". It matches the Rfam family "Bacterial small subunit ribosomal RNA", at positions 355 to 776 of the family's 1533-position model. The record is from RNAcentral. Lineage: Bacteria; Bacillati; Chloroflexota.
UGGGGAAUAUUGCACAAUGGGCGCAAGCCUGAUGCAGCCAUGCCGCGUGUAUGAAGAAGGCCUUCGGGUUGUAAAGUACUUUCAGCGGGGAGGAAGGGAGUAAAGUUAAUACCUUUGCUCAUUGACGUUACCCGCAGAAGAAGCACCGGCUAACUCCGUGCCAGCAGCCGCGGUAAUACGGAGGGUGCAAGCGUUAAUCGGAAUUACUGGGCGUAAAGCGCACGCAGGCGGUCUGUCAAGUCGGAUGUGAAAUCCCCGGGCUUAACCUGGGAACUGCAUUCGAAACUGGCAGGCUAGAGUCUUGUAGAGGGGGGUAGAAUUCCAGGUGUAGCGGUGAAAUGCGUAGAGAUCUGGUGGAAUACCGGUGGCGAAGGCGGCCCCCUGGACAAAGACUGACGCUCAGGUGCGAAAGCGUGGGGAGCAAACAGG